Molecule: ribosomal RNA, 186 nt
Filed under: uncultured bacterium
Lineage: Bacteria
Description: partial 16S ribosomal RNA
Rfam family: Bacterial small subunit ribosomal RNA
Source: RNAcentral
GCCUGCAUGAAGCCGGAAUUGCUAGUAAUGGCAGGUCAGCAUACUGCCGUGAAUACGUUCCCGGGCCUUGUACACACCGCCCGUCACACCAUGAGAGUUGGAGAUACCCGAAGCCUGUGAGCUAACUUAACGAGGCAGCAGUCGAAGGUAGAAUCAAUGAUUGGGGUGAAGUCGUAACAAGGUAAC